RNAcentral lists this unclassified non-coding RNA (343 nucleotides) under soil metagenome. Its description in RNAcentral is "partial contains 5.8S ribosomal RNA, internal transcribed spacer 2, and large subunit ribosomal RNA". The stretch from base 1 to 120 matches the Rfam family "5.8S ribosomal RNA", at positions 35 to 154 of the family's 154-position model. The record is from RNAcentral.
GAUGAAGAACGUAGCGAAAUGCGAUAAGUAAUGUGAAUUGCAGAAUUCAGUGAGUCAUCGAAUCUUUGAACGCACAUUGCGCCCGCUAGUAUUCUGGCGGGCAUGCCUGUCCGAGCGUCAUUUCAACCCUCAAGCCCCCGGGCUUGGUGUUGGGGAUCGGCGAGCCUCCGCGCCCGCCGUCCCCUAAAUCUAGUGGCGGUCUCGCUGUAGCUUCCUCUGCGUAGUAGCACACCUCGCACUGGGAAACAGCGCGGCCACGCCGUUAAACCCCCAACUUCUGAACGUUUGACCUCGGAUCAGGUAGGAAUACCCGCUGAACUUAAGCAUAUCAAUAAGCGGAGGA